RNAcentral lists this ribosomal RNA (451 nucleotides) under uncultured bacterium. Its description in RNAcentral is "partial 16S ribosomal RNA". It matches the Rfam family "Bacterial small subunit ribosomal RNA", at positions 354 to 796 of the family's 1533-position model. The record is from RNAcentral.
GUGGGGAAUAUUGGACAAUGGGGGGAACCCUGAUCCAGCCAUGCCGCGUGUGUGAAGAAGGCCUUUUGGUUGUAAAGCACUUUAAGCGAGGAGGAGGCUACCGAGAUUAAUACUCUUGGAUAGUGGACGUUACUCGCAGAAUAAGCACCGGCUAACUCUGUGCCAGCAGCCGCGGUAAUACAGAGGGUGCGAGCGUUAAUCGGAUUUACUGGGCGUAAAGCGCGCGUAGGUGGUUAAUUAAGUCAAAUGUGAAAUCCCCGAGCUUAACUUGGGAAUUGCAUUCGAUACUGGUUGGCUAGAGUAUGGGAGAGGAUGGUAGAAUUCCAGGUGUAGCGGUGAAAUGCGUAGAGAUCUGGAGGAAUACCGAUGGCGAAGGCAGCCAUCUGGCCUAAUACUGACACUGAGGUGCGAAAGCAUGGGGAGCAAACAGGAUUAGAUACCCCGGUAGUCC